RNAcentral lists this unclassified non-coding RNA (367 nucleotides) under fungal sp. RNAcentral describes it as "partial internal transcribed spacer region". The stretch from base 1 to 46 matches the Rfam family "Eukaryotic small subunit ribosomal RNA", at positions 1786 to 1831 of the family's 1831-position model. Lineage: Eukaryota; Fungi. The record is from RNAcentral.
AAGUCGUAACAAGGUUUCCGUAGGUGAACCUGCGGAAGGAUCAUUAACACGUAUCCAACGUUAAACCCCCCUGUGAACUUUUAUACUUGCUCUCCUAGCCCGCCGGAAUUGCAAUCCCUGGUAAAUCAUUGUUGAACAGAUUUUGAUUCAGGGACCUCAGUUUGGUAGGCGAAGAUCGAGCGAUCGUUGCAAGUGGCCUGGUUUCCCCAAGCAGUCAGUGUCUGGAAGACUAGAGGCCGAACACCGGCCGGUGACCAGGUCGCCGUGGCUUCGGUCCCCUAUAUUAACCCCACUACCUGAACUCGCCUCGUAGGAAACUGCUGGGCAACAAAACGAACAACUGUUAACAAUGGAUAUCUUGGUUCUC